This 1120-nucleotide long non-coding RNA is filed under the name Ictidomys tridecemlineatus (thirteen-lined ground squirrel). RNAcentral's name for it is "lncRNA (ENSSTOG00000030283.1)". Lineage: Eukaryota; Metazoa; Chordata; Mammalia; Rodentia; Sciuridae. The record is from RNAcentral.
GGCAACUCUGGUUUUGUGCUGGAGAAUCAGGAGUGACACACAGAACAAAUAACCCAGAAGAACAAAGAACAAGCAAUCCAAAGCCGCGGGGGCACGGUGCCAAGAAAGGACACAGCCAACCGUCCCCAGGGGAGCUGAGGAUAUGACAGGCCAGCGACUGCCAACUGUUCUUCUGUCCUCUCGGCCAUAGAACCCCUGGUUUUAGCUGGGCACGAAACGACGUCUCCCAGAAUCCACUACAGUCAUGCACACUCGACCGAAUAAGUUCUUCCGUGGGGUACAAGAAGUUUUUUCUCAGAGGCAAGGAAUUAUACUCUUUUUGUCUCUUUUUCCUUUCUGUUGGCUGGAAUAUACCUGUGAGUGCUGGAGCUGGAGCAGCCACAUUGGAUCCCAAGGUAGAAGGCACGUGUUAAGGAUGAGCAGACAACCAGAAAUCUGGAUGCCUGUUCGUGGAGCUGCCGCACGGACCCUGGACCGGAUAGCUGCAAGUGUCGUUUACCUCGGGGAAGAUUCGGCUUCCACAGCGCUUGCCAUUUUGCUGUCUCCAUGCAGGUCGCCUCUGGGAUCUACGGCAGAAGCACAAGCGAAGACCCAUAUACCACGUACUUAAAUAUUUAAAAAGCAAGCAAACAAGCUGCUAAAUAAAGGACGUCCUCUCCUCUUGCCUUGAAAAAUAUACCUUUAUAGUGGCAAAAUGAAGAAGUGCGACUGAAGCCCUGGUUUUCAUAUGCUGGAACACUUUCGUAUUUGGGUAUUCUGUGGAUGCGCCGGCUGUGUUUAGACAAGGGGUGAAAUAAAGACAUACAUAAUUCAUAGAUUAUUAUUGUCUUAGUCCAUAAAGAUAUUCAUGCUUUCGUUUCACCAAAAUUAUUAAUUUGUGUUCCAGUGACAGGAUGAGCCAAAAGACGAAAGAAAUAAAAUACGGUUUUCAUGAAAAAAAGAUACAUCAUAGUAAAUGUAAAAUCUUGAAAACAUUUUUUUUCCCAAAAAUGGGAUCUUUCUAGAACAUUCAAAGUCAUUUGAUGAAAGGAGAAGGCAAAAAAACAAAUUAUAAUCAAUAAUUUGUAUUUGAAAUCAUCAUUUUUUUCUAAUCAAUACAACAGUCUAAAAUCAUCACUUG